This 424-nucleotide ribosomal RNA is filed under the name uncultured bacterium. Its description in RNAcentral is "bacterial SSU rRNA". It matches the Rfam family "Bacterial small subunit ribosomal RNA", at positions 202 to 622 of the family's 1533-position model. The record is from RNAcentral.
UAAGACCUCGCGCUAUUGGAGCGGCCGAUGUCCGAUUAGCUAGUUGGUGGGGUAAUGGCCUACCAAGGCGACGAUCGGUAGCUGGUCUGAGAGGAUGAUCAGCCACACUGGGACUGAGACACGGCCCAGACUCCUACGGGAGGCAGCAGUGGGGAAUUUUGGACAAUGGGCGCAAGCCUGAUCCAGCCAUGCCGCGUGAGUGAAGAAGGCCUUCGGGUUGUAAAGCUCUUUCGGCCGGAACGAAAUCGUUCAGGCUAAUAUCCUGAAUGGAUGACGGUACCGGAAGAAGAAGCACCGGCUAACUGCGUGCCAGCAGCCGCGGUAAUACGUAGGGUGCAGGCGUUAAUCGGAAUUACUGGGCGUAAAGCGUGCGCAGGCGGCUUUCUAAGUCAGAUGUGAAAUCCCCGGGCUUAACCUGGGAACU